CAGGCGGGCAGGCGUUGCGGGGGACCGGCUCUGCCCCAGGCCUGCCAGCAUGGCCUGGCACCCAUGGGAUGGAGGGCUGGGAGGCCCUGGUUGACCUCUGGCUUGGACUCUGGGUUUGAUGAAGAGUUCUAGCGGAAGCAUCAGCCAGUCAUUAAUUCCAGGGAGGGUGCACGUGGAACCAGAAGGGGUGGCUGGCCAGGCAGGAGGCUGCCCCUCACCAGGGAGAAGAAAGAGCGCUCCUCUCUCCAGCCUUGCUGUGGCCUUCAACUUGCUUCACCGGGUGUCCAGAAUCACAGGCGGGUGGAAUGAGAGCAGUUUGAAUGACACCUGCUCUUUACAAGGCUGAAACCGAAGCCGCCUGAGGUCCCCGGGAGACUUGCUAAAACUUCAACUGCACCCAGUUCAGCAGAGCAACUUGAAAGUUAAUCAGCGGUGAGGGACAAUUUGCCUCAUUAUUUCCAGCCCUGGAAUUUGGCGGCAGAUGGAAUUUGGGGCCUGGUGUGGACACGGCAAUGAACACAGCAAGGACUGUCGCCCCUUGGUAUGGCCUUGUUGGGUCUGGGCCUGGAUGGGCUGAUACUCCCUCUGAAGAUGGGCGGUGCCAGGAAGGAUUUCCCACUUGAGAGAACAAGGGCAAUAAGGCUCCCCUAUCCCAGGUCCAGGCCAGUGUGGAGUAAUCCUUAGAUACACAGUUCUGAGCACGUAUUCGGGCUGAACCCUGCACUGGAUUCUGGGGAAACAAGAGUGGAAUCCGAUACAGUUGCAUCCAAUAUAGGACGCAGACCAGAGACACUGGGGUAAAUUCUCACAGGAGAGGAACACCUGUGGGUGGCACCUUCUGCAUGAAUCUGCGAAAAACAAAUCUGCCCCACUUCCCCUCACUUUCUCAAUAAGGUCCACUCAGACCCUUGACUUUAAUGUUAACCCCCUCCCAGGCACUCCCACCUCCACACUCUGCCAUACUCUCCACAGCACAUAGCACUGACCACCUUCUAACACACUAUGUUAGUUCCUCACUUAUCAUGUUUAUUGUUUAUCACAUCACCUUCCACAGGAAGGUAAGACCCUCCUUCCAUGAGGGCAGGAAUAUUUGUUUUGUUAAUUAGUCUAUCUCCAGCCCCAGCACAUAAAAUGCCCUCAAUAAAUGUCGUGUGAACAAAUGAA
This is a long non-coding RNA of Gorilla gorilla gorilla (western lowland gorilla), 1164 nucleotides long. RefSeq lists it as uncharacterized. The transcript is spliced from 3 exons. The record is from RefSeq and is a predicted model, not a curated record. Lineage: Eukaryota; Metazoa; Chordata; Mammalia; Primates; Hominidae.